Non-coding RNA from Poecilia reticulata (guppy), 6059 nucleotides. The record is from RefSeq and is a predicted model, not a curated record. NCBI's taxonomy places the organism in Eukaryota, Metazoa, Chordata, Actinopteri, Cyprinodontiformes, Poeciliidae.
AAAAAAAAGCUUAUUUUGGCAUCAAUCGGAAUUUGUCGUAUUUGUCCAGUACUGCACAUCACGUCAGCAAUACAUUAUGAGAAGAGAUGUUUUGUACUCUGACCAGGACAGCAGACUCAGCCUCAGUAUAAUAGCGCAAAAACAAGACCAAGAUUUAAUUCAUGCCUCAUAAAAUCAGAAGUAUUAAUUGAUUCCGCCUUUAAACUUGUCUAUCUCUAUCUCUAGGACAGGAAUAUUGAAACUUGGAGGGAAGGUAUGGCGAACUAUGGGGCGGAAAUAUGGCCGAUGUCCACGUUGAAGAAAUUAUAACCCAGUGCCCUAGCUGCACAAUGAAACUUAAAUAGGAUGUUUGGUUUGACAUAUGAUCGCUAAUACAGGCCACAUUGAACCAACGUGUGACAGUUGGCUAUACGAUGCCCAGAGCGGCAAAUAGUUCUGACUGCCAACACAGGCCUAGUGUGUGGUUCUGCCAUGUUGUAGUUUCGACCUCCAGUCACUGCAGUUCUAAAGAGCAGCUCUUCAGACUGUCUGAAGUAGUUAAUUUCCUGAACAAAGUAAUCUGAUCAGCUACAUUUUGUUAAGAAUCUGUGAGGAAGAUCAGAAGACCGUUUAACGUAUGUGAGAGGGCCACUUCUUGUCUCCAACAGCACUGCUAUUUAUGUCUGUGACUCUCUUUGCAUUGACUUGAAAGAGAAACAUAGCUGGGGCCAAAGUUCCUUUAUACAGGCUUUUAUUCUGAAAUUGACAUUAAGCCUAAUUUUAAAUGGCCACAAUAGUCCAAAGUGUAACAUUGGUUGGGUCAAACCAAUUAUAUAAUGUCCAGAAAAAUUCUGCUCUGUCUUUAAUUACAGUGUGCUGUUCGUCCCCUUUCUAUCAGUGACUCAGAGUCACAUUGUUAUGUAGCUCUUAACUCCCAACUCAGCCCUCCUCUAUGAUAGCUGGAUGUUCCUACAUGUUGUAGUCCCGGCCUUGCUCUAUGCCCACUGUAUUGUAGUGUUCCGCCCUAUCCAGAACCAUAGAGACUUCACAGUCCAAACUAACAGCCCCUCCUUUCUAUGUGUUCAGACGCUAUAGCGAGUAGGUCUCUGCCAGCUGUUGUGUGUGUGAUCAGUUUUGCUUAACUCUAUGUGAUACCCGAUCAGCUUCACCGAGUCAAGCCAGGGUCACAGUGUGUGCAGUAAAACGUCUCGUUCGUUGUCGUUUAAGCUUGAUUUUCACCACGGAGUCGUUGUGAUAUGAGUUAGACGUAGUGCCCAAGCAAUAUUAAACAGUAUUAAACCAUCUUGAACCACACCACCAAUAGCAGACAUACAAGUGAUUCAAAAGGUGAUUACAAAACUGAACUACUAGCAGAGAUGGAAGACGAAGCUAGUGAACUUGAUAAGCAGAAAGAUUCUGACCCGGAAAAGACCAACAGUGAUUGUGGAUCAAAAUUAACAAAGUCGAACAAGAAGUUCAGUCUGGUUUGUGGAAAGAGUAUGGUCCUGGUGAGUCUUAUACUGCAGUCCAAGAGAUGGAAAAAGGGGUGUAAAGCUGCUUCUGACACAGAAGCCCUAACUGUAGACCUAAGUGCAUGUGAAGUUGUUGGGAAGCAAUAAGAUGUUCUGUUACGUCCAAGUUGUAGAGGGUGUAUAUGACCCUUUGUUUGUGAGAUGCUUGUUGCCCUUUGGGUGUAUCUCUGCAGCAGCCAUCCUAGAACCCACCGAGGAGGAGGAGGAGGUGGAAGAGGUGGAGGAGGAGGAGGCUCGCCUCAAACCCAGCUUCACUAUAGAAGGAGCCAUGCUUGCCAGAGCUUGACCAGCCGAGCAGCCAGAGAUGGACCUGCCCCCUCCCCCCUCUGAAGGCCGAAAAUCUGUCUUGCUCCGGCCAUCAACCUCUGGUGGAGGACAUCAAAGUAUCUCCAGAACAGGAGGAGUAAAGUCCGGAGAGACGGCAUGGUGAGCGACAGAGCAGAAGUAAGGUUGAUGUUAUUUCUUUAAUUUAGGUGUUCAGGACUGCUGGAAACUGGAAUGGAUCUCCUCUGUUCUUUGGUCAUUAAAAGUCAAUAUAACAGCUUUCCAUUGAGAUUAUAGGUUGUAUAGUGGAUAGGUUUCUUACAGUUACCAAUUUACAUAUUUGUAUAAUAAACCUUCAUUUUGCCUGCACUAAUGAGGCCUGGAUCCAGUGUGUUAACGGCCCACAGGAACUUAAGUUGUACGUUUGGUUUGACAAACAAUCGCCACCACUGGCCACAUCAAUCCAACGUGUAGCAGUCCAGCUAUAUGAUGCCCAAAAUAGUAGGUAGUUCUGGAUGCCAGCUCAGUCCUAGUGUGUGGAGUCUGAGGGUUUCGCCAUACUGCGGUUCCGACCCUCUGACAUUGCAGCCCUGAACAGCAGCUUAACUACCAUGUGUAUGAGGCACACAGGGAGAGAUUGAAGCCAGCUUGAUUGAAACAGUCAGUUUUGAGCAGGGCAAUCUGAUCAGCUAUUUUCUGUUCAAAAUUAUUAAGGGUGAUCAGAAAACCGUUUGAAGCAUAUGAGAGGGCAAUUACUUAUCUCUGACAGUACUACUAUUUGUGUCGGUAGCUCCCUUUGCACCAACCUGAGAGGAAGAAACAUAACAGAAUAACAGAGGCCAGAGGGAUUCUUUAUACAGGUUUCUAUUUUAAAACUCACAGCAAGCUCAGUCACUUUAGAACUCUAAUCUUUACAAAAGAAUCCCAGGCGAAUUCACAAAUCAUGUUUGUGAAUCAUGUGUUUCACAAACAUGUGAUUCUUUUGUUUGUGAAAUGUUUGUUGCCCUUCAGGUGUAUCUCUGCGACAGCCAUCCUGGAAUCCACAGAGGAGGAGGAGGAGGAGGAGGAGGAGGAGUACCCCCAAGUCAAGCCCCUCUACGGAAAGAAGGUGUUGUUUGCAGGAGCUAAACUGACUAGGUAGCCGAUCGAGAAGGUGGAGGCAGCAGUGGACCAGCAGACUGCUGGCUGAUGUUUAAAAGCACACUGAAGGCAGAUACACCAAAGGUUUGAAACACUGAAGAGAACAGGCCGUUGGGAAGGUUGCCUAUUUUGUCCUGUGGGUGAGCUUCGCUGUGCUGAAAGAAGCCUAGUGAAUUAUCUUUGUUUGUGUUACGGCCAACUUUACUGGGUUUUCCUGCCACAAUUCACCUCUCAGUGUAACAGAGGUGGGAUUGUUUACACCUGGGAGUAAGGGAGGAUGACAGACCAAAUGAAAGGAGUUGGAACGUGGAAGAACUCACGGGACAAGGAAGAGUCUUCUUUCUAAGAUAGAAGAAGGACAAAGCGGGGGAACAGCAGAGCCAGAUCAGGAGGCUCUGCCAUCAUGGAGCGGCGUCUUCGUACAUUUUCCAGACCUCUCCACAUGGGUGAAGGAGAACAACCCAAAGACUGAAGAGGAAGCAGCAGACCUGGGUGAAUGUAAUCUUCAAGUGGAUGCUUUGAGCGCUGCUAGCUCAGGAAGGAGCUGGUGAAGAAGAAACACGUUCUUUUAUUUAGGURAGAAGCAGUUGGAUCAAGAAAARUAAAUAAAUAAAUACUCCCCAGUAGAAAAGGAGGGACUUGCAAUAAAGUGGGCUUUGUCCUCUUUAAAAUAUUGUUUCCUAGGAAGGGWGUUWACUCUGUAGGCUGAUCACAAACCUCUGAGGUGGAUGUAAUUCAAGCAGCAUCAGAAUGACCUUGUGUUGGUGCCCCGCCUCACAGCCAUACCAGCUCACCAUACAGCAUUGUCCAGAUGUCCUUGCAGCAGCCAUCUURGAAUCCUCCAAGCGGGAGGCCCGCCUCAAAUCAGCUACUCAUCAGAGAGRGUAACGUUUGCUGGAGCAUGACCACYUGGGCAGCCAACCGARAGGGYAGGGACAACAGUACACAAGGAGACUGUUGGUUGACGCUUGGAAGGGCGCUGAGAGUCUGGGACWUUAAAAACUUGAAACACUGAAGCUGAGAGAUUGAGGCUGARGGACUGUUGGGAAAGCUGCCAUUUUAUCUUUUGGGUGAGUUUUGUGCUGAGGGAGGCUUAAUAAAUCACAUUUGUUGAUGGUACAGCCAACUUUGCCGAGUUUUCCUUCCACACCACACCUCUUUAAAGUAACAGGAAUGCAGCUGUCCUCUGUGGAGAGUGUGAUCUAGGAGUCUAUUAAAGUGUUGUGGCCUGGGAAAUAAUGAUUAUCGUAGAAGAGGAAUAACGUAUAUAGAAGAAAGAAUUGGAAUAAAUUAAAAUGGUGAGAAAUAAACUUCUAACAAGAGAAUCACAGUUUGCCAUAGUAUAAGAGACUGCAAGGGAGAMGAGCAAGUCAGGUGCAGCAAAAGCAGUCCUCGCAUUUCUAUCUAUACUAGCUCAACAUGCAYCCAUCAUUGCAAAGAUCAGACCGAUUUGUCUACCAAAGUUCCAUGGCUGUAGAAGAAACUUCCACUGGUGGAGAAAAGUCUUGGAAGGGUUGAGUUUUUCUCCCGGGUUCAGUUCAGAAUAUGGUACCCCUAAAUUUAAUGUUAGUGCGCAAAUGUGAAUGCAACCUAGAUGUUAUUGCAAGUUAUCACUGUUGCAAUGUAGUAGAAAYAUAGGCACUAAGACUCCCAUUCUUCUGUUACAGCCUCAGAAUAGUUAUUYAGUCUUCAAAGCAUUUCUCACAGGCUACAUUUUCAGUCAUUCUCUCUCCAUGUUUUAAAAGCUGGGGUCUGUGGCAUCUUUCAUARAGUCAAAAUGAGACGGGCAUAGGUAACAACUCCAGUGUUUAGUACUCUGACAGCUGCUUUAUGAACACCUGGGACCACAUCCCGGCCCCCUAACAGGCACAAUCUUGGUGAAAUAGGURGUYYACUCUUUAACCAUCCCUCCAUGUGUUUUAUAACACUAUUCCAUAUUGGAGAGAUCAGCGGACAUUCCCAUAAAGCAUGCAGCAAUGUACCUCUUGCUCUUUGGCAUUUCCAGCAAAAGUCAUCUUUGCUAAUACCCAUCUUAUGUAGUSUUAAUGGUGUAAGAUAAAACCUGUUCAAAAUUACAUAUUGAGKAAAUUUCCCUUUGGCCUCUCUUACAUAAUACCCGUUUUUARAAACAAUAGAGUCCCAUGUUUUAAUUUUCAAAAGUGCAGCCCAGAUCUCCUUCCCAUACUAUUUUAAAACUUUUACUUUUAUUGUAUUAACCCAUGAACACAUGUUGUACCAUUUUGAUGCUUUACUAGUUAAAGGUGGAAGGUGAAAGGUGGAGGAAAACAAAAAAUAAAUAAAUAAAUGAAUAAAUGUUCCCCAAGUGAAAUUUUGUCCUGUCCUUCAAACAGUCUCUAAUUAGUAAGUAUUUCCAAAAGUGACUUUGUCCCUCUAACUUAAACUUUUCUUUCAGAUCAUUAUAUGACAUAAAUGUGUCUUAUACAAAUAAAUCAUCAAUUAUCCGUACACCUUCCUUUAACCAAUGUGAUCAAUAAAUUGCUUGCCGAUAUUGAUAUUAGCAUUAUGCCACAGGGACGCAUACCUCUGGACAUAUGGAGAGAGCACAAGUUUUUUGUGGACCGUUUGCCACACCAUUUUGAGAAUUWUAAUAUGGAGUUAUCUAUUUUAUUCUGUUUAUUAUCUAUCUUUUGAGUCAAUACCUCGAUAGGGGUCUAAAUCUGAUUUAGUUUCUGGCCAAUGUCCGCACAUCUUGGGCAUUUCAAAUGAAAUGCUAUAAUGUUCUAUGUUAGGUAAGGUCAGCCCCCCUUCUUUUUGGGUUGACAUAGUUUGCCAAUAUUGAUUCAGAGUUUUACCACCAUCACACAGAAAAUGUUUAAUCAUAUUAUUAUAUUUUCGAAGAAUUUGAGCUGGGAUACAGAUUGGUAUCAUUCCAGUAUAAUAAUUUAUCGAGGGACCUAUAACCACCUUUAUUGUGUUUAUCUUACCCCCUAAUGUUAGAUGUAAUUUGGUCCRGUUGUCCAAGUUAGAUUAAUUCUGGUAAGCAGUUUUUCUAUAUUUUCUAUCAUGAUUUCAUUAACAUCUGGAUUAAGUGUUAUUUCUAGAUAUUUCAUGCCUUUUUGUAACCACUUGAAAUUGAAAGUGGAUAAUAAGUUUGCAGAGCAGGCUUUUGACACAGGCACUGCC